CCAAAGGCUCUUUUAAGAGCCACCUACUACUCUGAAGAUCUGAG
Molecule: non-coding RNA, 44 nt
Organism: Mustela putorius furo (domestic ferret)
Lineage: Eukaryota; Metazoa; Chordata; Mammalia; Carnivora; Mustelidae
Source: Rfam